Molecule: ribosomal RNA, 253 nt
Filed under: uncultured bacterium
Lineage: Bacteria
Description: partial 16S ribosomal RNA
Rfam family: Bacterial small subunit ribosomal RNA
Source: RNAcentral
UACGAAGGGGGCUAGCGUUGCUCGGAAUGACUGGGCGUAAAGGGCGCGUAGGCGGAUGGCACAGUCAGAUGUGAAAUUCCUGGGCUUAACCUGGGGGCUGCAUUUGAUACUACUGAGCUUGAGUACGGGAGAGGAUAGUGGAAUUCCCAGUGUAGAGGUGAAAUUCGUAGAUAUUGGGAAGAACACCGGUGGCGAAGGCGGCUAUCUGGACCGUAACUGACGCUGAGGCGCGAAAGCGUGGGGAGCAAACAGG